This 133-nucleotide microRNA precursor is filed under the name Brugia malayi. Its description in RNAcentral is "microRNA bma-mir-9505 precursor". The record is from miRBase by way of RNAcentral. Lineage: Eukaryota; Metazoa; Nematoda; Chromadorea; Rhabditida; Onchocercidae.
UUUAGCGCUUCUGAGAUUCAGUAAGCAUUUACUGACACUAUUCUUCGUUCUGUAUGGUUGUGACAAACAUCACGCCUAAUUAUGAGAUGUGAUGUCUGUCAAAAUCAUAUAGAAAGUAGUUUUAUGCCACCAG